This 1006-nucleotide long non-coding RNA is filed under the name Mytilus galloprovincialis (Mediterranean mussel). Lineage: Eukaryota; Metazoa; Mollusca; Bivalvia; Mytilida; Mytilidae. The record is from RNAcentral.
UAUUGUAAUGAACCAAGUGCUUUUCAUGUUUCUUUAAUCAUAUCAUAUAUAUAACUCUCUAUGCAUAAUGUACUUUUACUGUAACCAUGCUGUGUUUGUUGUUGAAUCAUAUAGAUUUAGUAUAUUUACAAAUGUAUGUUUCUUAUACAGUCACCAACUGUUUAAAAGCUAUUAUUUUUUGCCAACAAAAUCUUCAGUCAAAUUUUUCUGUCAUGAAUGAGUCAAGAUUUACUGGUACCAACUUAUAUCUUUUUUUAAUCACAAUUUCCGCCAUAAAUAUCGUAUUUUCUGAGAUUUUGUUGACUUAAUAAUUUGAUGGUUACCUAUUUUUCAUGAAGAAAGGAAGAAAUUGUAUUUUGAUGAAUACUGUAAACCAACUUAUUUUCGCAAGCAAUUUUUUUCCGCGACUUUCGCAAGUAGAAAAUAACGCGAAUAUAAAUAGUCGCAAAUAUGUUAAACUUUGAUCUUCCCUUAUUACACUAUAUCCAGUAAUUAGAAAAUCUCAAAAUAGACUAGAAAGGGUAAAACGUGAAAUAAAGUAUCCGCAAAAAUAAGUUGGUUUACAGUACUUGAUUUCAUAGUUUUAACAAAUACUGCAUACCAGUACUAUUGAAACUGAUUUUUUUUAAAACAUUAAAUCUUUGUCCAUGAAAUCCACAAAAAUAAAGACCCCAAUAAUAAUAAACUACAAAAAUGUUUACCAAUAAUUUUGCAUAAUAAAGGAAAUUACAAUACAUGGUGUUGUAUGUAAAUUUUGUUUCUUCUUUGCAUGACACAAGACAGACAUACUAAGGGAGCUUCCAUUUCUUCCUGUUUCUAAGCGUUGAAGAAAAAAAAAAAUUGGUAAUUCUACAUAUAUAUUCACGACUCCUGAUAAUGUCUUCUAGAUACUUUGUAAGUUGUUUUGAGUCUUUGUUUGUAUGACUAUUUUAUUUUUAACCUAUUAUGAAAUGUUAAAUUAAAAUUGAUGUGAAAAACUGUUGUUUAAAUUCUUUUUCGAAAUGUU